UAUCCCCCCUUGGGUCCCUUAUGUCCCCAUAUCCCCACCCUGGGGUCCCUUAUGUCCCAUAUCCCCCCCCUGGGGUCCCUUAUGUCCCCAUAUCUCCUCCCUUGGGGUCCCCAUAUCCCCCCCCUUGGGGUCCCCAUACCCAUUGGGGUCCCUUCUAUGGGGCUGUCCAUUGGGUGGGCAUUGACACCCAUGGGUGCCCCCCAAUGUCCCCCCCCCCCCCCCAUAGAGCAAAGAGGAGGUGAUGGCCGUGAGGCUGCGCGAGGCCGACAGCAUGGCGGCCCUGGCUGAGAUGAGACAGAGGGUGGCCGAGCUGGAGAUCCAGGUUUGUGGGGUGGGGGGGGGACAUAUAGGGUGACAUAUAGGGUGGGAUAUAGGGUGGGAUAUAGGGUGGGAUAUAGGGUGGGAUAUGGGUGACGGGGUGACCCCUCUGCGCCCCAUAGAGGGAGGAGGGGAUGAUCCAAGGGCAGCUCAACCACUCGGACGCCGCUCAGUACAUCCGGCAGCUGAAGGAUCACAUCGACGAGCUCAAGGCCGAGAUCCGGCUCCUUCGCGGCCCGCUCUCUUUCAGCUCCGUGGGGCUGGGGCGACGUUUGGGGGACGACGAUUCUUUGGGGUCUUCGGACGAGGAGCUGCCGGCGUUUGCUCUGCCCCACAACCACGGGGGGGACAUGGGGGACAUCAUGGGGGACAUCAUGGCCGACAGCAGCGACAGCGACAACGACGGGGCCGCCACCGCACCAUGACCCCAUAGGGGACAUCGAUGGCACCGUGACCCCAUAGGGGACAUCGAUGGCACCGUGACCCCAUAGGGACAGUGGGGACAAUGGGGGACAUCGAUGAUGCCAUUGACCCUAUGGGGGGACAGUGGGGGACAAUGGGGGGCAAUGGGGGGCAAUGGGGGGCAAUUACGGCACCCUGACCCCAUUGGAGGACAUUGGGGUCAAUGGGGGACAUUGAUGACGCCAUGACCCCAUAGGGGACAUCGAUGGCACCAUGACCCCAUAGCGGGACAUCAAUGGCACCGUGACCCCAUAGGGACAGUGGGGACAAUGGGGGACAUCAAUGAUGCCAUUGACCCUAUGGGGGGACACUGGGGGACAAUGGGGGGCAGUUAUGGCACCCUGACCCCAUAGGGGGACAUUGGGGUCAAUGGGGGACAUCAAUGAUGCCAUUGACCCCAUAGGGGACAUCGAUGGCACCGUGACCCCAUAGGGGACAUUGGGGACAAUGGGGGGCGUCAAUGAUGUCAUUGACCCUAUGGGGGGACAUUGGGGUCAAUGGGGGACAUCAAUGAUGCCAUGACCCCAUAGGGGACAUCGAUGGCACCAUGACCCCAUAGGGGACAGUGGGGACAAUGGGGGCAACUACGGCACCCUGACCCCAUAGGGACAGUGGGGGACACCAACGAUGCCAUUGACCCUAUGGGGGGACAGUGGGGGCAACUAUGGCACCCUGACCCCAUAGGGGGACAUUGGGGUCAAUGGGGGGCAUCAAUGAUGCCAUUGACCCUAUGGGGGGACAUUGGGGUCAAUGGGGGACAAUGGGGGACAUCAAUGAUGCCAUUGACCCUAUGGGGGGACAGUGGGGGACAAUGGGGGGCAAUUACGGCACCCUGACCCCAUAGGAGGACAUUGGGGUCAAUGGGGGACAUGGAUGAUGCCAGGACCCCAUGGGGGCAGUGUGACCCUAUGGGGGGACAUUGGGGUCAAUGGGGGACAUCAAUGAUGCUGUGACCCUAUAGGGGGACAGUG
Molecule: long non-coding RNA, 1751 nt
Organism: Coturnix japonica (Japanese quail)
Lineage: Eukaryota; Metazoa; Chordata; Aves; Galliformes; Phasianidae
Source: Ensembl